This 140-nucleotide unclassified non-coding RNA is filed under the name Hoeflea sp. EC-HK425. Its description in RNAcentral is "ar35". The stretch from base 35 to 140 matches the Rfam family "Alphaproteobacterial sRNA ar35". The record is from RNAcentral. Lineage: Bacteria; Pseudomonadati; Pseudomonadota; Alphaproteobacteria; Hyphomicrobiales; Rhizobiaceae.
UGCCCUCUUGCAAUCGAUCUGAUCCACCCCAUAUAUUGAUCAACAAGGAAAUUUGCCUCCAGCCUGACCACGGAUGUACUGGCAGGUUUGUUGAGGCAAGUCAGGAAGGUCGGUGCGAAUUUCGCCCGGCCUUUUUCUUU